AUUGAACGCUGGCGGCAUGCCUUACACAUGCAAGUCGAACGGCAGCACGGGAGCAAUCCUGGUGGCGAGUGGCGAACGGGUGAGUAAAGUAUCGGAACGUGCCCAGUCGUGGGGGAUAACGUAGCGAAAGUUACGCUAAUACCGCAUACGAUCGAUGGAUGAAAGCGGGGGAUCGCAAGACCUCGCGCGAUUGGAGCGGCCGAUAUCAGAUUAGGUAGUUGGUGGGGUAAAGGCUCACCAAGCCGACGAUCUGUAGCUGGUCUGAGAGGACGACCAGCCACACUGGGACUGAGACACGGCCCAGACUCCUACGGGAGGCAGCAGUGGGGAAUUUUGGACAAUGGGCGAAAGCCUGAUCCAGCCAUGCCGCGUGCAGGAUGAAGGCCUUCGGGUUGUAAACUGCUUUUGUACGGAACGAAAAGGUUUGGCCUAAUAAGCUGAGCUCAUGACGGUACCGUAAGAACAAGCACCGGCUAACUACGUGCCAGCAGCCGCGGUAA
This 500-nucleotide ribosomal RNA is filed under the name uncultured bacterium. Its description in RNAcentral is "partial 16S ribosomal RNA". It matches the Rfam family "Bacterial small subunit ribosomal RNA", at positions 30 to 523 of the family's 1533-position model. The record is from RNAcentral.